UCCGACUGUUUAAUUAAAACAAAGCAUUGUGAUGGACUAAAUAGUUGUUGACACAAUGUGAUUUCUGCUCAGUGCUCUGAAUGUCAAGGUGAAGAAAUUCAAAUAAGCGCGGGUAAACAGCGGGAGUAACUAUGACUCUCUUAAGGUAGCCAAAUGCCUCGUCAUCUAAUUAGUGACGCGCGCGAAUGGAUCAAUGAGAUUCCUACUGUCCCAACUUACUAUCUAGCGAAGCCACAGCUAAGGGAACGGGCUUAGAAAAAUCAGCGGGGAAAGAAGACCCUGUUGAGCUUGACUCUAGUCAGACUUUGUGAAUUGAUGCGUGGGGUAUAGAAUAGGUGGGAGCUGAAAGGCGGACUUGAAAUACCACUACCCGUGACGUUGAUUCGCUUAUUUACUUGAAUAGAAAAGAGAUCAUAUCUCCUAAUUCUUGAACUAAUUGGUAUAUAAUGCUUCUGGUGCUUGGCGACUGUAAAAAGGUUGUCAGGUUGUUCUGGGGGCCUCUGGUGCUGAGAUCUAAUGUAAAAACAUUUUCUGGUGGGGAGUUUGGCUGGGGCGGCUCAUCUGUUAAAAGAUAACACAGGUGUCCAAAGGGAAGCUCAAUAAGAACAGAAAUCUCAUGUAGAGCAAAAGGGUAAAAGCUUCCUUGAUUUGGAUUUCCGACGUAAGAAUACAAACUACGAAAGUAUGGCCUAUCGAUCCUUUAUCCUAUACGUUCAGGAUCUGAAGAUAGAGGUGUCAGAAAAGUUACCACAGGGAUAACUGGCUUGUGGCUGCCAAGCGUUCAUAGCGACGUAGCUUUUUGAUCCUUCGAUGUCGGCUCUUCCUAUCAUCGCGAAGCAGAAUUCGCCAAGUGUUGGAUUGUUCACCCAUAGAAAGGGAACGUGAGCUGGGUUUAGACCGUCGUGAGACAGGUUAGUUUUACCCUACUGAUGAAAGUGUUUUAAAGGGCUGUCAAGACAGUAAUUCGAUUUAGUACGAGAGGAACCAUUGAUUCGGACAUUUGGUAUCGCGUUUAUUUGAACAGAUAGCGACGCAAAGCUAUCGUCCGCAGGAUUAAAGCUGAACGCCUUAAGUUUGAAUCCACUCUAAAAUGACAGUAAUAUCCGGUGAUUGGCUUUGG
RNAcentral lists this ribosomal RNA (1120 nucleotides) under metagenome. Its description in RNAcentral is "eukaryotic LSU rRNA". It matches the Rfam family "Eukaryotic large subunit ribosomal RNA", at positions 2133 to 3184 of the family's 3401-position model. The record is from RNAcentral.